UCUCGGGAUAUAUUAUAUAAUAAGGGGGGUUGUAGCUGGCCUAUCCCAAAUAGGUAUGUGCACACCCUUGAACCCCCCCGGGAUUGUCUACAAUGUUUUACACACCAUGUGCACAUCUGUAGCUGAGGGAUGAUUUUUACGGAGUUGCCAUUAAUUUUGGUGACUCUGAAUGCCCUCGCUAUGUUCAUAUAUAUUAUAUACACAUAUAAAUGUCAUUUGGAAUGUUUUGUGUCUAGCGUGUAACAGCGCGCGAAUGCAAUACAACUUUCAGCAACGGAUCUCUUGGCUCUCGCAUCGAUGAAGAACGCAGCGAAAUGCGAUAAGUAAUGUGAAUUGCAGAAUUCAGUGAAUCAUCGAAUCUUUGAACGCACCUUGCGCUCCUUGGUAUUCCGAGGAGCAUGCCUGUUUGAGUGUCAUGAAAUUCUCAACUGCUUUGGAUUUUGUUUCAAAGUGAAGUUGGAUUUGGAGUUGCUUAUUGUCGGCAUUGUUCGACUGCUCCUAAAAGCAUUUAAAGCCUGUGUUCUGAUAGAUUCUUGGCAUAGUUGACGUGAUAAC
This 555-nucleotide ribosomal RNA is filed under the name Hydnellum ferrugipes. Its description in RNAcentral is "eukaryotic LSU rRNA". The stretch from base 263 to 416 matches the Rfam family "5.8S ribosomal RNA". The record is from RNAcentral. Lineage: Eukaryota; Fungi; Basidiomycota; Agaricomycetes; Thelephorales; Thelephoraceae.